This 469-nucleotide ribosomal RNA is filed under the name uncultured bacterium. RNAcentral describes it as "bacterial SSU rRNA". It matches the Rfam family "Bacterial small subunit ribosomal RNA", at positions 60 to 524 of the family's 1533-position model. The record is from RNAcentral.
AGUCGAACGGCAGCACGGGAGCAAUCCUGGUGGCGAGUGGCGAACGGGUGAGUAAUAUAUCGGAACGUGCCCAAUCGUGGGGGAUAACGCAGCGAAAGCUGUGCUAAUACCGCAUACGUCCUGAGGGAGAAAGCGGGGGACCGCAAGGCCUCGCGCGAUGAGAGCGGCCGAUGUCAGAUUAGCUAGUUGGUGAGGUAAAGGCUCACCAAGGCGACGAUCUGUAGCUGGUCUGAGAGGACGACCAGCCACACUGGAACUGAGACACGGUCCAGACUCCUACGGGAGGCAGCAGUGGGGAAUUUUGGACAAUGGGCGAAAGCCUGAUCCAGCCAUGCCGCGUGCAGGAUGAAGGCCUUCGGGUUGUAAACUGCUUUUGUACGGAACGAAAAGUCUCUUUCUAAUAAAGAGGGAUCAUGACGGUACCGUAAGAAUAAGCACCGGCUAACUACGUGCCAGCAGCCGCGGUAAU